RNAcentral lists this ribosomal RNA (253 nucleotides) under uncultured bacterium. RNAcentral describes it as "partial 16S ribosomal RNA". It matches the Rfam family "Bacterial small subunit ribosomal RNA", at positions 524 to 776 of the family's 1533-position model. The record is from RNAcentral.
UACGAGGGGGGCAAGCGUUGUUCGGAAUUAUUGGGCGUAAAGGGUGCGUAGGCGGUUUUGUAAGUCUUGUGUGAAAUCUUCAGGCUCAACUUGAAGACUGCACGAGAAACUGCAGGGCUUGAGUGUGGGAGAGGUGAGUGGAAUUCCUGGUGUAGCGGUGAAAUGCGUAGAGAUCAUGAGGAAGACCAGUGGCGAAGGCGGGUCUCUGGACAGUUCCUGACACUGAGGCACGCAGGCCAGGGGAGCAAACGGG